This 905-nucleotide long non-coding RNA is filed under the name Daucus carota (carrot). RNAcentral's name for it is "long non-coding RNA (DCAR_LNC007223)". Lineage: Eukaryota; Viridiplantae; Streptophyta; Magnoliopsida; Apiales; Apiaceae. The record is from RNAcentral.
UCUUUGCAGCUUCCUCUACUCUCUUCUGAGUAAGCUUGUUUUCAAUCUCUUCAAUCCUUGCUGUAAUGGUACUCAGUGCCACUUGCUCCAGUGUAUUCUCAGGUGGAGGUUGCUCUAGAUUUUUCUUCAUCUUCUCUAAAGUUUGCAGGUGAACCAUCUUCUUCAACUUCUUGAAAGUGACAUUCAUCUCCAUUCCUUCAAUUUUCAUAAUGAUCCUUGAUGGAUGAGCACGAACUCUAGAAGUGUUGUGGACAGUCUCUACAGCUUUUCUUAUCUCCAGAAGAUCAACCAAAUCUUUGAGCACACUCUUGUCUUCUUUUACCACUGACCACUUAACAGCUGCAACUGCACGAGUGAUUCUUUUGGAAUUGAGUUUUCCAAUCUCUGUGAGUGGUAUAGCAGUGACUUCAGAGUCUUUCUUCUUCUUGAAUAUUACAGAUGUAGGAUUGUAAGUAACAACUGGUGCAUUUGGAUUUUCAGGAACUUCAGGGUCUAGUGGAGGCAGUGGAUAUGGUGGUUGACGAUUGAUGGCUGAUAAGUCUAAUUCUCUCAGAGCAGCAAAGUUCAGACGAUAGGCAUAUAGCAGUUCAGCAGUUAGUCUUCCCUUGCUAGUCCUUGAGCACUUCUCCCUGACUUGAGCUUCAAGAUAUUUCAGUAUACGAGGAUUGUAUCACGCCUCCUACGCUUAUCACUCACCUACGCUUUUGCAGCAUGCCCCCUUCGGGCAAUACGGCUUUCUAAACGCGAAGCAGCUGAGCGAUAGCUCUUCGAUCGCUAUAUUCUUGCGAUAGCGAAGGAUCGAAGAGCGAAGUUACGGCUUUAGGCGAAGAGCGAUAGCGAAAGCCUUAAGUCUUAUUGUUUUGUUCCCGAACAACGAUCAUUCAUUACGGCCGGCCCGACCAAAG